Molecule: ribosomal RNA, 253 nt
Filed under: uncultured bacterium
Lineage: Bacteria
Description: partial 16S ribosomal RNA
Rfam family: Bacterial small subunit ribosomal RNA
Source: RNAcentral
UACGUAGGGCGCAAGCGUUAUCCGGAAUUAUUGGGCGUAAAGAGCUCGUAGGCGGUUUGUUGCGUCGGCUGUGAAAUCCCGAGGCUCAACCUCGGGUCUGCAGUCGAUACGAGCAAACUAGAGUGUUGCAGGGGAGACUGGAAUUCCUGGUGUAGCGGUGAAAUGCGCAGAUAUCAGGAGGAACACCGGUGGCGAAGGCGGGUCUCUGGGCCGACACUGACGCUGAGGAGCGAAAGCGUGGGGAGCGAACAGG